This 505-nucleotide ribosomal RNA is filed under the name Skeneopsis planorbis. Its description in RNAcentral is "partial 16S ribosomal RNA". It matches the Rfam family "Bacterial large subunit ribosomal RNA", at positions 1807 to 2609 of the family's 2925-position model. Lineage: Eukaryota; Metazoa; Mollusca; Gastropoda; Littorinimorpha; Skeneopsidae. The record is from RNAcentral.
ACAAAAACAUGUCUCUUUGAUUUUUCUUCAUAAAGAGUCUAACCUGCCCAGUGAUAAAUUAUUCAACGGCCGCAGUACCCUGACUGUGCAAAGGUAGCAUAAUCAUUUGCCUUAUAAUUGAAGGCUAGUAUGAAUGGUAUAACAAGAAUACAACUGUCUCUUGUAAAAUUAAUAAAAAUUAAGUUUUAAGUCAAGACGCUUAAAUCUAACUAAAAGACGAGAAGACCCUGUUGAGCUUAAAAAACUUAAAGACUUUACUAAUUUGUUUUUUUGGUUGGGGCGAUCUAGGAACAUAAAAAACUUCUUUAAAAUUAAAAACAAUUAAUAAUGAUCCAAUAAAAUUGAAUAACAAAAUAAGCUACCACAGGGAUAACAGCGUAAUUUUCUUUACAAGCUCUUAUUAAAAAGACUAAUUGCGACCUCGAUGUUGGACUAAAAUCUCCUAAAGGUGCAGCUGCCUUUAAAAGUUGGUCUGUUCGACCAUUAAAAUUUUACAUGAGCUGAG